Molecule: ribosomal RNA, 251 nt
Filed under: uncultured prokaryote
Description: partial 16S rRNA
Rfam family: Bacterial small subunit ribosomal RNA
Source: RNAcentral
ACGGGGGGUGCAAGCGUUGUUCGGAUUUAUUGGGUGUAAAGAGUGUGCAGGCGGAUGAAUAAGUCAGAUGUGAAAUAUUUCGGCUUAACUGGAAUCGUGCCUUUGAUACUAUUCAGCUAGAGUAGAAUUGACGAGACUGGAAUUUCAUGUGUAGAGGUGAAAUUCUUAGAUAUCACCAAGAACGCCAAUCGUGAAGACAGGUUACUAAAUCAUUACUGACGCUCAUACUCGAGAGCGUGGGUAUCAAACAG